UGAGAACGUGGUGUAACUGGAUAACAUCCCAGUCUACGAAACUGGAGAUUUGAGGGUUCAAAUCCUUCCGUUCUCGUC
Molecule: transfer RNA, 78 nt
Filed under: Cylindrospermum sp. NIES-4074
Lineage: Bacteria; Bacillati; Cyanobacteriota; Cyanophyceae; Nostocales; Nostocaceae
Description: tRNA-Arg
Rfam family: tRNA
About the family: Transfer RNA (tRNA) molecules are approximately 80 nucleotides in length. Their secondary structure includes four short double-helical elements and three loops (D, anti-codon, and T loops). Further hydrogen bonds mediate the characteristic L-shaped molecular structure. tRNAs have two regions of fundamental functional importance: the anti-codon, which is responsible for specific mRNA codon recognition, and the 3' end, to which the tRNAs corresponding amino acid is attached (by aminoacyl-tRNA synthetases). tRNAs cope with the degeneracy of the genetic code in two manners: having more than one tRNA (with a specific anti-codon) for a particular amino acid; and 'wobble' base-pairing, i.e. permitting non-standard base-pairing at the 3rd anti-codon position.
Source: RNAcentral